RNAcentral lists this non-coding RNA (778 nucleotides) under Ostrinia zealis (burdock borer). Lineage: Eukaryota; Metazoa; Arthropoda; Insecta; Lepidoptera; Crambidae. The record is from RNAcentral.
AAUAAAUUUUUUAUAGUUUAUAAAUUUAUUAUAAAUUUAUUUUGCAUAUAAAUUUUAGUGUUGAUUUUUCAUUAUUUUAAUAAUUUUUGAAUUUUAAAAUAUAUAGCAAUUAAUAUUAAAAAUUUAAGAAAUUAAGAUUUAGUAAUAUUUAAAUUAAUAACAAAUUUUGUGCCAGCAGUUGCGGUUAUACAAAAAUUAAAUUAAAUUUUAUUAGUAAUUAAUUUAUAAAAAUUUUAUUUAAUUAAAUAUUAAAUUAAUAGGUGAAAUUUUUAUUUAAUUUAAUUUAAUUUAAUUUUAUAAUUUAAUAAAUUUAUAUUAUAAACUAGGAUUAGAUACCCUAUUAUUAAAAAUUUAAAUUUAAAAUACUAAAAUAGUAUAUAAUUAUUUUUGAAACUUAAAUAAUUUGGCGGUAUUUUAGUUCAUUUAGAGGAAUCUGUUUAUUAAUUGAUAAUCCACGAAUGAAUUUACUUAAUUUAAAAUUUUGUAUAUCGUUGUUAAAAAAAUAUUUUUGAAUGAAAAUAAUAUUUUAAUUUUAUAACUAAAAAUUAAAUCAGAUCAAGAUGCAGAUUAUAAUUAAGAAUAUAAUGGAUUACAAUAAAUUUAUUUAAAUGAAUUUUUUUUUUGUAAUAAAAAUUUGAAAGUGGAUUUAAAUGUAAUUUUAUUUAUUUUAAUAAAAUGAUUAUAUAUUAAAAUAUGUACAUAUUGCCCGUCGCUUUCAUAAAUAAAUUGGAAUAAGUCGUAACAAAGUAGAGGUACUGGAAAGUGUUUCUAGAAAUAA